GAUGAAGAACGUAGUGAAAUGCGAUAAGUAGUGUGAAUUGCAGACUUUAGUGAAUCAUCGAAUCUUUGAACGCACAUUGCGCCCCUUGGUAUUCCAUUGGGCAUGCCUGUUCGAGCGUCAUUUACACCCUCAAGCCUAGCUUGGUGUUGGGCGUUGUCCGCAAGGACUCGCCUCAAAUUCAUUGGCAGCGGCAUCGUCAGCUUCUCGCGCAGCACAUUGCGCUUCAGAAGGCUUCUGGCGGGCUCGCGUCCACUAAGAUACCACCCAGUUUGACCGCGAAUCAGGUAGGGAUACCCGCUGAACUUAAGCAUAUCAAUAAGCGGAGGA
RNAcentral lists this unclassified non-coding RNA (327 nucleotides) under soil metagenome. Its description in RNAcentral is "partial contains 5.8S ribosomal RNA, internal transcribed spacer 2, and large subunit ribosomal RNA". The stretch from base 1 to 120 matches the Rfam family "5.8S ribosomal RNA", at positions 35 to 154 of the family's 154-position model. The record is from RNAcentral.